GAUGAACGCUGGCGGCGUGCUUAACACAUGCAAGUCGAGCGGACGGACGAGUAGCUUGCCUGUCUGGUGUUAGCGGCGGACGUGAGAGUAACACGUGGAUCACCUACCUAUAAGUCUGGGAUCACUUCGUGAAACCGGAGCUAAUACGGGAUAAUAUUUUGAACCGCAUGGUUCAAAAGAGAAAUACGGUCUUGCUGUCACUUAUAGCUGGUUCCGCGCUGCAUUAGCUAGUUGGUAAGGUAACGGCUUACCAAGGCAACGAUGCAUAGCCGACCUGAGAGGGUGAUCGGCCACACUGGAACUGAGACACGGUCCAGACUCCUACGGGAGGCAGCAGUAGGGAAUCUUCCGCAAUGGGCGAAAGCCUGACGGAGCAACGCCGCGUGAGUGAUGAAGGUCUUCGGAUCGUAAAACUCUGUUAUUAGGGAAGAACAUAUGUGUAAUUAACUGUGCAGAUCUUGACGGUACCGAAUCAGAAAGCCACGGCUAACUACGUG
This 497-nucleotide ribosomal RNA is filed under the name uncultured bacterium. RNAcentral describes it as "partial 16S ribosomal RNA". It matches the Rfam family "Bacterial small subunit ribosomal RNA", at positions 28 to 507 of the family's 1533-position model. The record is from RNAcentral.